UACACCUAUACAGUAUUAUUUACAGUCAGUAGAAUAUUAUUAACAAGCAAUAAUAUAAUAUUAAUACUAUGAUACUACUGCGCGCGUCGUGUCUAUUAUUGUCUCUAUCGUUGUUGUUGUUAUUAUUUUUUAUCAUUAUUCAUCAUCAUCACCGUUACUAUUAUAGUUGCUUACGCUUACACGCUAUAUAUAAUGUAUAGUGUAUACAUACACACGUGACAUUGAAUUGAAACGCGUUCCGACACGUUCGGUUGGGAAAUUUUUUUUUUUUUUUUUUUGGAAACAACAUCGGUCGUUUUUUUUUAUUUAAUUCCUGUACGACAUUUAACCACAUACACUAUGCAAACACGUUAUUAUAAUAUUGCGUCAUAAAUUGGUCGUCGUCGUCUUUCACGUCUAACAAACUAACAUUAAAAGGAACAAAUAACUAGUUAUAAUUCUAAAACGAUUGUACGUAUUAUUCUUAGUUUUAAUACAAUUUUAAUUUACAAAUUUAUAAUAAUAAUAGAUUUCGUUCGCAGUAUAAAAAAAGUCCAUAAUAAUCAAUUGAAUCACAGGUAUAUUUUAGUUACUAAGUACUAGCUACAACAAUCCUCGUAAGCUCAGACACCCAGCGGCCAGCACGUGGUAGAGAUAAGUACUGACCAGAAUAUUUUGAUAUUUUUUAUUCAAAUACAGAAUUUUUUUUUGAGAGGACAUCCUAAAAAAGAUGCACAAACUAUAUAUCUAAUCUAUAUAUAUUCGUCAUAAGAACAAGUAUAUAAAUUUAUAGUAAUUUUUACUAUAUUACUUAAUAAGUCAUAAGACGUGCGCAUGUACUUAUUGUUCCAGUAGUGUUUGUGUAAAUCAGUCAUAACAGAUGGUCGAACAAAUUUCAAAGAUAUAGAGGCAACGGUACGCGUCGUGCUCAUUGCCAUCCUGGCACCCUGCGCACCGAAUGGAGUUUUACACGAGCAAACUGAGCAAAGGAUUCCUGGUAACAUAUAAUAUUAUAUUUUCUAACGUAAGUACCACUUCACAAACUCGAUUUAAAUAAUGUAUUAAUAUAUUUAUUUUUAACCCGCCAACUUGUCAUAUUCCUAUUCUCAAUGUAGAUAAAUAAUCCCUCACGGGAAACUCUUGACUGCAUUCUGCUCCUGCAUUGCGUUCACGUACAUAGGGUUUGUGCCGUUUUAACUUCUCGUCAACUGGACCCAGGAAGAUACUUUUUUGUAAAUAAGCGGCAAGCGCACUGCGUGUUUAUCGAAGUUAUUAUAAAAUUAUUAUGACACUGCAUUUACUGUGACAUUAGUCGUUCAAUGGCAUAUUGUUAUUGAAUUCAAUAAUAUUCUUUAGUUAUUUUUUCCACUGUUUUGCGCGUGGUAAUAGAUUACGAGUGACUUGAAAAAACUCGUAGAUUCCUAACUAUAAUAAAAUAUAAUAAGUAAUAAUAACAUAAUAUGCAUACUCGGAUUAUUAACAAUAAAAUUAUCGACUUUUAUUGUUUACCAACUGAUAUAUAAUAUAUAUUAUAUUUUAUUUUUUUCUACAGUAUUCAUAUAAUACGAGUAAUACGACGUGCACCUAUCUGAAUACACGACUUCAAAGAAAAUAUCAGCAUAACCUAUCCAGACGUGCGGGAUUUUUAUACAAUUAAUAUAAUAUAUGUCUAGCGUGUAUUUAAUUAUGUUUACAACAACGUUUUUAAUAUUUCAGUUUGAUGAUAUGCAAGCAUGCAACAUUGCGUAUUCUGCAACAAAGAGAACCCUUUUAACGUUAAUAAUUGUCUACUAAGUAAUAAAACAUAAGUUUAAGAUUUCGUUUUUAACUAAUCUACAAAUAGGUAGGUAUGUAAAAAUAUUGAUACCACGCGUCAUGGUGUUAUCGAGUAGGUUAAUCGAGUGUCUAUACGCUUUACGUAGGUAUAGUUUUUAGUAUACUAGUUAGUAUAUAGUUACCUACCUAUAGAUUAAUGUUUUUCUAUUACAUAACACUUUUUUCGACUAGUUUGAUUAGAUAACGAUAAAAAGUAUCUUUAUAUUUAUAUCGUAAAAUAUAGCUUUAUACGUGCAUACAUACUUAGUCUUAACUGCAAUAACAUAUUAUUUAUUUAAUCAUUUAACGAUUAAUAAUAAUUAUUAAUUAGCUAGGUAGGUAAUAUCAUUUAAUUUUGAUAUAAUAUUAUCUUA
This 2168-nucleotide long non-coding RNA is filed under the name Rhopalosiphum maidis (corn leaf aphid). RNAcentral's name for it is "uncharacterized LOC113548442, transcript variant X2". The record is from RNAcentral. Lineage: Eukaryota; Metazoa; Arthropoda; Insecta; Hemiptera; Aphididae.